AAUUCAAUAGUAUCUUUGAAAACAGAAAUAAAAUAUAGCAAAUAAAAAUAAUGCUAGAAAUACUGUGACAUCCCAAUAGUCCUACAUCGGAUGGGAAUGAGAUUGUCAUUGUCUUUAUAAGAGACUUAGACACUAGUAAUAAUAACUGAGCUUAAGCAUUUUUGGCCGGUGGUUGGGCCCAAUGAGUUAUUUUUGCUAGUGGGCUGAAUCGUUACAUUUGGUAUCAGAGCCGGUUCACCAGCUGGAUAUGUGUGGCGAGUCUCGGCUGAGCCAGGGUCUAGAUGACUGGCUAGCGAGACGAGUCUCACAUUGCCUGGUGAUUUUGGGCUGUGUGUGUUAUUAGACUGACGAGGACGUCAGGGUCUUAACGGGGGGAGUCUGUGACACCCCAAUAGUCCCACAUCGGAGUUGUCAUUGUCUUUAUAAGAGACUUAGACACUAGUAAUAAUAACUGGGCUUAAGCAUUUUAGGCCGGUGGUUAGGCCCAACGAGUUAUUGUUGUUAGUGGGCUGGGUCGUUACAAACCCAAAUGUUAUUAUGAAAAAACUUCAAAUACCACCCCAAUAGUUACAAACCCAAAUGUUAUUAUGAAAAAACUUCAAAUACCACCCCAAUAGUUUCGCACUUUCUUACUUUAAUAGUUUCGCACUUUCUUACUUUAAUAUCCUAUGAUUUAAAGUGUAUCACUUUCAUACCCUGUAAUUUUAUUUUUCUCUUUUUUGGAUCUUCAAGUCUGUUUUUUCAAGUAAAAUAAAUCACUUCAUAGGUAAAAUAUGUUAUUCUACUAAAUCAUAAAUAUAAUUUUUUUUUAAUAUUUAAUUAUUAUUGGUUGAACUAGUGACCUUAAUAUAAAGUUAUAAAUAUUUUAAUUAUUAUUUUUAAUUUUGAUAUAGAAAAUAAAACUAGGUUGAAAUACUAUCAAUAGCACCAAACUAUUGGUGCUAUUAGGUUUUCGGCCCUUAGAUGAAAAAAUAUACUGUUAGGAUGAUAUGGGCCUCCUAGGGUUGAAUAAGUUAUUGGUUGAAUAGUAUAAUCUAACGGGUAAAAAUAGUUAAAGAGUUAAAAUCUAACGGUGGAAAACUCGAUAGCACCAAAUCGUUGGUGCUAUUAAUAACACCCUAGCCGGACUCUAGAAAAUAAUAUUAUUAUUGUAAUAUCAUA
RNAcentral lists this long non-coding RNA (1161 nucleotides) under Ananas comosus (pineapple). RNAcentral describes it as "long non-coding RNA (ACOM_LNC008663)". Lineage: Eukaryota; Viridiplantae; Streptophyta; Magnoliopsida; Poales; Bromeliaceae. The record is from RNAcentral.